RNAcentral lists this ribosomal RNA (726 nucleotides) under uncultured prokaryote. RNAcentral's name for it is "bacterial SSU rRNA". It matches the Rfam family "Bacterial small subunit ribosomal RNA", at positions 28 to 772 of the family's 1533-position model. The record is from RNAcentral.
GAUGAACGCUGACAGAAUGCUUAACACAUGCAAGUCGAUUCGAUUUACCUUCGGGUAUUGAGGAUGGCGGACGGGUGAGUAACGCGUAAGGAACUUGCCUCUUGGUCUGGGACAACUGUUGGAAACGACAGCUAAUACCGGAUAUUAUGAGAUUCUCGCAUGGGAAACUUAUGAAAGCUAUAUGCGCCAAGAGAGAGCCUUGCGUUCCAUUAGCUAGUUGGUGGGGUAACGGCCCACCAAGGCGACGAUGGAUAGCCGGCCUGAGAGGGUGAACGGCCACAAGGGGACUGAGACACGGCCCUUACUCCUACGGGAGGCAGCAGUGGGGAAUAUUGGACAAUGGGCCACAAGCCUGAUCCAGCAAUUCUGUGUGCACGAUGAAGGUCUUCGGAUUGUAAAGUGCUUUCAGUUGGGAAGAAGAAAGUGACGGUACCAACAGAAGAAGCGACGGCUAAAUACGUGCCAGCAGCCGCGGUAAUACGUAUGUCGCAAGCGUUAUCCGGAUUUAUUGGGCGUAAAGCGCGUCUAGGCGGAAAAAUAAGUCUGAUGUUAAAAUGCGGGGCUCAACUCCGUAUUGCGUUGGAAACUGUUUUUCUAGAGUACUGGAGAGGUGGGCGGAACUACAAGUGUAGAGGUGAAAUUCGUAGAUAUUUGUAGGAAUGCCNAUGGAGAAGUCAGCUCACUGGACAGAUACUGACGCUAAAGCNCGAAAGCGUGGGGAGCAAA